Molecule: long non-coding RNA, 307 nt
Filed under: Fukomys damarensis (Damara mole-rat)
Lineage: Eukaryota; Metazoa; Chordata; Mammalia; Rodentia; Bathyergidae
Description: lncRNA (ENSFDAG00000032810.1)
Source: RNAcentral
GGACAAUAUUUCUAAUGAAAAGAAUCUUAGAAACCCUCAUUUAUCUACUUUACUUUGUCUGUUAGUUAUUUUCUUCAAAGCAGGGACUACAUGAAGGAGCAAUUUGCGAGUGUUUCUGAAAGCUCUAUCUUUAAAGUGGUGAAAUGAAUUCUGAGGAAGGGUAGAACUCAAGACCACUCAACUUUAUCUACUGUUACUGCAGCACUUUUUGGCAGCCAGUAGGAUCUGAACACCUGGUUGAAUUUUACUCAUCUUUCAAGACUGAACUUCAGUGUCAUUUGCCCAGAGAAACCCCUUGAGCCUUCAC